This is a long non-coding RNA of Mandrillus leucophaeus (drill), 2032 nucleotides long. RefSeq lists it as uncharacterized. The transcript has 3 exons. Lineage: Eukaryota; Metazoa; Chordata; Mammalia; Primates; Cercopithecidae. The record is from RefSeq and is a predicted model, not a curated record.
AGGUGCAGCCUCUCCCAUGUGCACCUGCGAGGCCUACCCUUUCUCCCGUCUCAGGGCCUUGAUGCCCUCGCCUGUAAAGUGGGCAUCAGCGAAGACCCCAGACGGGAAGGGCUGAGUGAGCAGGAGUGUGAGUAUGUGAGUUUCGAAUGGAAGCAUUCUUAUGCCCAGCAUCAGACACCCUGCAUUGAUAGAAGUGUGAUUCCGGCAAGGUAAUAACUGCCUCUCCCUGGGACUGACGUGACUCCAGGAGCACAGGUGGUGAAUGAGGAAGCUGGCAGGCCACCUGCCACCCACUGUGAACCCAAAUGGAGAGGCCUUCCAGACCCAUGCAGCAAUUCUGGGGGACUGGGGCCCGAGAGCGAGGUUCGACUCCCAGUCCAUCCGUCCCUGUCUGUCUGACACACAGUCACCACAUGCAUUCUGCUGCAAGGCCCCGGGGCUGAGCCCUGUGAAAUCCUUGCUCCAGGGGUCACACAGCGUAAGCAGGAGACAGGAAUAUGACAGGAUGGGAGGUCCCAGGGCUGUGUGCACAGCGACAGGCGUGAUUACAAGAGUGCACGGGGACUCACCCCGGCCAGAGACAGGCAUACAGGAAGGUUUCCCAGGGGAGUAGAGACUUGGUCCAGACUUCAGAGAAUUUGGAGAGGAGACUGAGAGUGAGCCUGUAUCUGGGAUAACUGAAAAAAAAAUAACUGGCUUAAAAAAAUCUCCAUGUGUGACAACUUACGUCACUAAAGCAAAGUGUGGAUUUGAGUUACUAGGUAGUAAUAAGAGUUUUGGAAAAUGGACACAGCCCUGCGUUUAAGGAAAUUGUCUUUUCAUGCUGGCUGAUACACAUGUAAGCACACACACGCACACACGCACGCACACACACCCCACCUGGCGUCUCCAUCUAGCAUCCCAGGGCGCCGUCAACCUUUCUGCUUCCUCCCUCAUCCCGUGUUUCCUAGAACUGCCAUGAAGCUGACAUGCAGCACGUACUCGCUGCUGGGCGUAGGUGGCCAGCCCAUGGCUCCUUCCUGUACCCAUUGCUGGCAGAUCCCGUGCCCCAGGGCAGCUCCUACCAUCAGUCCUGUCCUCUGCCCUUGCAUCUACUCCUUAGCCGCAUGUCAAGGGGCGCUGAGCAGGUGUGUCUGUGCUUCACUCAGGUCUCAUUAGUGGCUGUCAGUAAGCCCUGAAUUCUUCCAUAGAACCCUUAAAUCCUUCCUCAAUCCCCGCAGCCCACGAGCAAGCCUCCUAAAUCCGAUCAAUUAACACAGCCCAGAAAGUGGAUCCAUUUGCAGGAAAGCUAUAAGCUUGCACCUAAUCGUCCUUCCCUAGGGGACUGGUUAGAGCAACUGUAGGACGGCAGGAAGGAGCCCUCCAUGGACAUGAAAACAUCAGGGAGAAUGGUAUGUGUUGACGUGGAAAUAUGUCCAUGACAUAUAUUGCUAAGUUUAAAAAAUGUAGGCUCCAAACCAGCAGAUGAAUAUGAUUGCACUAGAUUCUGAAACGGGUGUGUUGGGCGAGUGUUUAUACAGAGAUGUCUGGGGCAGGAGAGGCCUGGGGGCCACCAAAUAUUCCCAGCAGUUACUGACAGUAAGACACCAGGAGGGUUCAAUUUUAAAAAUUGUCUUCUUUAUUUUUAGAAUUUUUUUUCAGUGGUUGAAUUUUUGACAUGGGUGUGCCUGUCUUCAUAAGAAGAAAAAGAAAAGAAAAAAAAAAACCAGCUAGGCAAUUUAUAAGCUUCCACGGAGCAUUUUUAAUAAAUAAGCAGUGUGGGGUUUUCCAGGUAAAUGGAAUAUGCAAACCAUGGGUGCCGGGGCUGGGAGGAAGGGACAACAGGGGACACUGCUUAGUUGUGUAGGGUUUCCUUUUGGGGUGACGAAAUGUUAGGGAACUAGAGAGGGCUGGUGCACGUUGUGGUUACUCUGAACAUUCUGCAUUUACUAAAUGCCACUGAAUUGGACACUUGGAGACGGUUAAUUUCCUGUUACGUGAAUUUUACCUCAAUAAAAAAGUGCCAGAUUCUCUAGUAAAACAAGUCACCUAA